This 468-nucleotide ribosomal RNA is filed under the name uncultured bacterium. Its description in RNAcentral is "partial 16S ribosomal RNA". It matches the Rfam family "Bacterial small subunit ribosomal RNA", at positions 28 to 507 of the family's 1533-position model. The record is from RNAcentral.
GACGAACGCUGGCGGCGUGCUUAACACAUGCAAGUCGAACGGAAAGGCCCUGCUUUUGUGGGUUGCUCGAUUGGCGAACGGGUGAGUAACACGUGAGUAACCUGCCCUUGACUUUGGGAUAACUUCAGGAAACUGGGGCUAAUACCGGAUAGGAGCUCCUGCUGCAUGGUGGUGGUUGGAAAGUUUCGGCGGUUGGGGAUGGACUCGCGGCUUAUCAGCUUGUUGGUGGGGUAGUGGCUUACCAAGGCUUUGACGGGUAGCCGGCCUGAGAGGGUGACCGGCGACAUUGGGACUGAGAUACGGACCAGAAUCGUACGGGAGGCAGCAGUGGGGAAUAUUGCACAACGGGCGGAAGCCUGAUGCAGAAACGCCGCGUGCGGGAUGACGGCUUUCGGGUUGUAAACAGCUUUCGACUGUGACGAAGCGUGAGUGACGGUAAUGGGUAAAGAAGCAACGGCUAACUACGUG